GCUGAGAGGUCGUUGAUUCUUGCAGUGAAACGAAGAGAGUAAGCAACGCUGUGCUAAAGGGUUGCACAGCAGCACAGCCAUGGAUUCUGCUCUGUUUUCAACUAUUCUAGUCCCUGUGGUGCAGAAGAUUUUGGGGGCAUUUAGAGGGGGCGUAAGAAAUUUGCUUUGUCAGGGACGAAAGAGCUCCAGAGAAAAUGGGACCUAUCGAAU
RNAcentral lists this unclassified non-coding RNA (210 nucleotides) under Hevea brasiliensis (rubber tree). The record is from RNAcentral. Lineage: Eukaryota; Viridiplantae; Streptophyta; Magnoliopsida; Malpighiales; Euphorbiaceae.